CUCGUUACAACGAAUCAUUUUAAAUACAAAAAUACCAGUUGCAGCCUUUUGUUUAUCUAUUAAUAUAUGUAUACGGAUAAAGUUAUGAAAGGCAGCAGGGUCACCAGGGUGAGGAGUCCAUGUCAUCUGAAAUAAAUGCUAAGCAUAGAUCUAGAAAGCGACAGAUAAUCAUGACAUUAAAAAAAACUCUCUUCUUUUCGACUUUUUUCGAACAAAUUGACACAUAAAAUGAAUUAUAUAGUAUUGUGGAAUUUUUAACUUGUGUUCAAUUCAUUGGUUACACCUUUUACUAGGAUAACAAUCCUGUCAAGUAUGAGCUGGGUAAAAUAUUUCAGAAAAGAAGAUGGAAAUGUGAAAGUUUCCGUGCGUCAGGUGCAACAGCAUACGAACAGCUAACAUGCCUCGUCAGGGUGGAAGCUAAAAAGUCCACGAAAAUUUGAUUUAAAACCUUUAUUCGUUCCAACAAAGUUAUUGAGAUUUUGUUGAGGAUUUAACCAUCUACGACAACAAGAAUUUUUUUUUUAGAAUUUACAGCUCUUCUAUAAAUAUAUGCAAAGCAAACCAUUGAUUAAAUUGCUUGCUAUGAUUGUUUGGAUGUUUGUAAACGACAGGUAAGUAGUCUGU
Molecule: long non-coding RNA, 624 nt
Filed under: Mytilus galloprovincialis (Mediterranean mussel)
Lineage: Eukaryota; Metazoa; Mollusca; Bivalvia; Mytilida; Mytilidae
Source: RNAcentral